UACGUAGGGUGCAAGCGUUGUCCGGAAUUACUGGGCGUAAAGCGUGCGCAGGCGGUUCGUUAAGUUCGAUGUGAAAGCCCCGGGCUCAACCUGGGAACUGCAUUGGAAACUGGCGGGCUUGAGUGUGGCAGAGGGGGGUGGAAUUCCACGUGUAGCAGUGAAAUGCGUAGAGAUGUGGAGGAACACCGAUGGCGAAGGCAGCCCCCUGGGCUAACACUGACGCUCAGGCACGAAAGCGUGGGGAGCAAACAGG
Molecule: ribosomal RNA, 253 nt
Filed under: uncultured bacterium
Lineage: Bacteria
Description: partial 16S ribosomal RNA
Rfam family: Bacterial small subunit ribosomal RNA
Source: RNAcentral